GACAGAGGAUGCAAGCGUUAUCCGGAAUGAUUGGGCGUAAAGCGUCUGUAGGUGGCUUUUUAAGUCCGCCGUCAAAUCCCAGGGCUCAACCCUGGACAGGCGGUGGAAACUACCAAGCUGGAGUACGGUAGGGGCAGAGGGAAUUUCCGGUGGAGCGGUGAAAUGCGUAGAGAUGUGGAGGAACACCGAUGGCGAAGGCAGCCCCCUGGGCUAACACUGACGCUCAUGCACGAAAGCGUGGGGAGCAAACAGG
This 253-nucleotide ribosomal RNA is filed under the name uncultured bacterium. RNAcentral's name for it is "partial 16S ribosomal RNA". It matches the Rfam family "Bacterial small subunit ribosomal RNA", at positions 524 to 776 of the family's 1533-position model. The record is from RNAcentral.